GAUGAACGCUGGCGGCGUGCCUAAUACAUGCAAGUCGAGCGAACGGACGAGAAGCUUGCUUCUCUGAUGUUAGCGGCGGACGGGUGAUUAACACGUGGAUAACCUACCUAUAAGACUGGGAUAACUUCGGGAAACCGGAGCUAAUACGGGAUAAUAUUUUGAACCGCAUGGUUCAAAAGUGAAAGACGGUCUUGCUGUCACUUAUAGAUGGAUCCCCGCUGCAUUAGCUAGUUGGUAAGGUAACGGCUUACCAAGGCAACGAUGCAUAGCCGACCUGAGAGGGUGAUCGGCCACACUGGAACUGAGACACGGUACAGACUCACACGGGAGGCAGCAGUAGGGAAACUUCCGCAAUGGGCGAAAGACUGACGGAGCAACGCCGCGUGAGUGAUGAAGGUCUUCGGAUCGUAAAACUCUGUUAUUAGGGAAGAACACAUGUGUAAGUAACUGUGAACAUCUUGACGGUACCUAAUCAGAAAGGCACGGCUAAAUACGUG
This 497-nucleotide ribosomal RNA is filed under the name uncultured bacterium. Its description in RNAcentral is "partial 16S ribosomal RNA". It matches the Rfam family "Bacterial small subunit ribosomal RNA", at positions 28 to 507 of the family's 1533-position model. The record is from RNAcentral.